CUUUCCAUUCCCUGUGUGUUGCAGUUCGCUCUCAUUCCUUGUCAAGUUAGAACAGUUGGACCUUGGUGCUAAUGACCUGGAAUUACUGGUAACAAAAGGAGCAACACUAUGAACACGUCUACCAUUGCUGAUAGCGCUGCUAUAUCAUGUUGGGAUUGUCAGUGUUAACCAAAAGCUUUUAUUCAUGUCUGGCAGGAGGGGGAGAAAGACACAUUUCUACUGUGGGUCCAGCAUUUCCAAAACCUUGCUACUGGACAGUCCUUCCUGUUGUCUUCUAUGUUUCCUGUUGGGAGCUUCUGCAGCCAGUAUGCUAACCCAGACACUUCCAAACAUAUUUGCUGCAGUAUUGUGGCACACCAAAAUGUUAGUCUCAUAAACCAUUUGAUGAAUGGUUGUUGGAGGUGUGAAAGCAGUACCAUCGAGUUUUGCAGAGUUUUAGUGUGAUUUGGAAUAUCCUAGAGCAGUUUCUCCCCUGGAAAGGACUGACACUGCUACUGCUGUGACACUGCUACUGCCCUGCUCUGUUACAGCCAGAUAACUCUGGGAGUGCUACCAAACUUGUGCGAGCUUUGGUUAGACCAGAAUGAAGUCCUGUACCCAGCUGCACGCUGUAAUAGCAGAGAAGUCCGCAUCAGAUUCUGUGACAUUUUGUUCAUGUCCAGCUUGGGCUCUAGUGGUCUGAUAAAACACGUCAUUUGAACUGAUUCAAUCUUGAGGUAUGACACGUAUUCCUCUGAUUGUUAAAUGUCAUGCUCUGCAUGAGUGCUUUUUCUUCGGUAGGGCCUACAGCGCAGAGCAACCCCUCAUCCCAGCGAGCUGAAGGUUAUGAAGAAAGUUAUUGAAGUUCCGUGCAAUGAGGAGAAAGACUGAGUGCCACGUCAAAUCACAGUGAGGACUGCCACCUUUCUAACAGCACCACCUCUUGCUGACCUUAGGGCAGAGGAGCAGGGAAAAGAGGGACAAAGGAGCUGGCCAAAUGGGCAGCUGUCUGAGAUGCAGGAGCUGGGGAAGGUUGUAAAGCCAAAAGCUGAAGAGGAGCAUAAAGAAGCAGCUGUCCAAGAGGAGGAAGAUGUAGAAGUAGAAUACAAUGAGGUAGGAAUCUAGGAACUGCAUCAGGGUCAUGUUAAAAAGUGGAAGGAUUUGACAGUUUCUGAGAAAAUGAUAAAUGGAUUUACAGAGUAUGAUUUGGGCAUUGCUGGAGGCAAGUAAAGGCCCUGGAAGCUAACUGCAAGGAGAGAUUCAGGGAGCGUGGUGGAACAGGGUCCAUCAAAGACUAGGAAAAAUAGCAUGGGAAUGGGGCAGGGACUGUGCAAAAGUCAGGCUUACAGGUUUGAGUGCCCAUGAAGCUGACAGAUGUGUCUAGGUGAAGGAGUUAAUAUGGGAGAUGGGGCAAAAACAAGUAUAGGGAAAUUGGGGUAUGUAUUCCUGCAUCUUCUUUAACAUUAAAGCAGAAAUGCUGGCUUUGCAUGCGUUGGUAGUAGAGGGACAGCAGAUUUAUGUGCUGCCUGCAGCUAUGGCUGUUAUCUGAGGCUCGCAGCCUUUCUGGGGCUUUGCCAUUGCAGCCCACUGUACACUUUACUGAGGACACAUUAAUAAGGAGUGAAGAUGAGGAUGAAGAUGAAAAGUGACCAUUCCCAGUGGAGAAACAGAGGCUUAUCCACAAGGACACACCCCAUUAUAAGAAACACUUUUAAGAUAACUAAACUGCCCAAGCCGGAGGAAGUGGUGGCACUCCUGCAGGGGCUGAACAGUGAGGGAGUCCUAAAAGAGGAAGAGGAGCUGGGAAAUCACAAUAACAAUGCAGAACCUGAGGAUCGGGAGGAAGCAUGGGAUGAGGAUAACAGAAAAAGUGGAGCUUUAUCUGCUCAUCCACCAGUGCAGAUAAGGUCUUGAGGGGAUGGGGAAAGGUCAGAGGGGUGCCAGACCACCCUUCUGCUGCUUUGAACUACCAGCCAGGUUGAUGCAGUACAAAUGAAAAUGUUCUCAAGAGGCUCCAGCACUUCAGGAGAAACACGCUGAGGUCAGGAGAACUGAAGUUCUUUCUGGGGCUUAUACAAUUGUCCAACAGCUGUGCCAUGUUGCUUAUGUCUGACUUCUCACGCUAUGUCCAAAUGCUUGCAUGCUCCCCUUAUGUGUGAUGUUGUGAUCUGUGCUGCAAGAACGGUUCUUUUGUCCCAUCACUGAUGGGUUUUUUCAUUCCUUUCAAAAAACGACCUCCUUGCUUGCUAGUUGUUGCACCUCGUUUGCUACAGAAUGAGCCAUGUCUGUGGAUGGAUCUAAUCUCCUCAGGCUUAUGUUCAGACUGCUUACAGUUGCUUUUCUGCCACGGUUCAGGUCCUGAAGAGGAGUACUAGUGAGAGCAGUUAGGAGCAUGCCAUUCUCAUUGGUUCUACCCAGUGCCUGCCCCAGAACAGGUGCAGUCUGAUGAAAUGUGCCUAGGGACUCAAGAGAGCCUGUUUUAUGAAGUUCUGCCAUUGCCAUGGGGCCACAGCGAGCCUUUCUGGUCAUGGUUGGGGCUGAUGAGUUAAAAGGUCCUUGGCUCUACUCAGGUGAAUCCCCAUGUUUCAUCAGGGACAUCCAGAUUCUUGCUUGAGGAAGAUGCUCACAGUAGAAUAGGAAUAUACUUACAAGGGACAUUGCCUGAGGUCAGACCAGUUCUUACUGAAAUUGGU
Molecule: non-coding RNA, 2672 nt
Organism: Anas platyrhynchos (mallard)
Lineage: Eukaryota; Metazoa; Chordata; Aves; Anseriformes; Anatidae
Source: RefSeq, a predicted model, not a curated record